Molecule: ribosomal RNA, 489 nt
Filed under: uncultured bacterium
Lineage: Bacteria
Description: partial 16S ribosomal RNA
Source: RNAcentral
GUAGUUAGCCGUGGCUUCCUCCUUAGGUACCGUCAUUAUCGUCCCUAAAGACAGAGCUUUACAAUCCGAAGACCUUCUUCCCUCACGCGGCGUUGCUGGGUCAGGCUUUCGCCCAUUGCCCAAUAUUCCCCACUGCUGCCUCCCGUAGGAGUCUGGACCGUCUCUCAGUUCCAGUGUGGCCGAUCACCCUCUCAGGUCGGCUACUGAUCGUCGCCUUGGUGGGCCGUUACCUCACCAACUAGCUAAUCAGACGCGAGCUCACCUUUCACCGGAUCUCUCCUUUGACCCCUGUACCAUGUGAUACUGUGGUCUUAUGCGGUAUUAGCACACCUUUCGAUGCGUUAUCCCCCUGUGAAAGACAGAUUGCUCACGCGUUACUCACCCGUCCGCCGCUAGAAUACCCUCGGAUUGCUCCUUGCGUAUCCCCGCUCGACUUGCAUGUGUUAGGCACGCCGCCAGCGUUCGUCCUGAGCCAGGAUCAAACUCUGA